RNAcentral lists this long non-coding RNA (284 nucleotides) under Hordeum vulgare. Its description in RNAcentral is "long non-coding RNA (HVUL_LNC004188)". Lineage: Eukaryota; Viridiplantae; Streptophyta; Magnoliopsida; Poales; Poaceae. The record is from RNAcentral.
AAAAAUCACAUGGUGUAAUGGAGUCUGUGUAUCUUUCUACGACUCAUCUACACACGUUGAUGACCGGCACCAACAUUGUUGGGUUAUGUAUGCCUAUUCCAUUAUGGUUGUGGUACUUGGGUGUAUAACUAUUCAUGUCGAUCUGGGUUCUUUGACAUAUGAUUGCUAGCGACAUAUUCAUAUACGGGAGCGAAAAGACACACAUGGUCCCGACCAAGGUAAGGUGGCACCCAUGGAUCUUACCUUGUGUGAGUGUUGCAAAUAAAUAUCAUGUGUUAUGUGGG